CCUACGGGAGGCAGCAGUGAGGAAUAUUGGUCAAUGGGCGUAAGCCUGAACCAGCCAAGCCGCGUGAGGGAUGAAGGUUCUAUGGAUCGUAAACCUCUUUUAUAAGGGAAUAAAGUGCGGGACGUGUCCCGUUUUGUAUGUACCUUAUGAAGAAGGAUCGGCUAACUCCGUGCCAGCAGCCGCGGUAAUACGGAGGAUCCGAGCGUUAUCCGGAUUUAUUGGGUUUAAAGGGUGCGUAGGCGGGCGUUUAAGGCAGCGGUGAAAGUCGGGGGGUCAACCAUAGCAUAGCCGUUGAAACUGGGAGGCUUGAGUGCGGUGGAGGUAGGCGGAAUUCGUGGUGUAGCGGUGAAAUGCUUAGAUAUCGCGAAGAACACCGAUUGCGAAGGCAGCGUACUGAGCUGCCACUGACGUUGAGGCACGAAAGUGUGGGUAUCAAACAGGAUUAGAUACCCUUGUAGUC
This 460-nucleotide ribosomal RNA is filed under the name uncultured bacterium. RNAcentral's name for it is "partial 16S ribosomal RNA". It matches the Rfam family "Bacterial small subunit ribosomal RNA", at positions 338 to 795 of the family's 1533-position model. The record is from RNAcentral.